GAUGAACGCUGGCGGCGUGCCUAAUACAUGCAAGUCGAGCGAACAGACGAGGAGCUUGCUCCUCUGACGUUAGCGGCGGACGGGUGAGUAACACGUGGAUAACCUACCUAUAAGACUGGGAUAACUUCGGGAAACCGGAGCUAAUACCGGAUAACAUGUUGAACCGCAUGGUUCAACAGUGAAAGACGGUUUUGCUGUCACUUAUAGAUGGAUCCGCGUCGCAUUAGCUAGUUGGUAAGGUAACGGCUUACCAAGGCAACGAUGCGUAGCCGACCUGAGAGGGUGAUCGGCCACACUGGAACUGAGACACGGUCCAGACUCCUACGGGAGGCAGCAGUAGGGAAUCUUCCGCAGUGGGCGAAAGCCUGACGGAGCAACGCCGCGUGAGUGAAGAAGGUCUUCGGAUCGUAAAACUCUGUUAUUAGGGAAGAACGAAUGUGUAAGUAACUAUGCACGUCUUGACGGUACCUAAUCAGAAAGCCACGGCUAACUACGUG
Molecule: ribosomal RNA, 497 nt
Filed under: uncultured bacterium
Lineage: Bacteria
Description: partial 16S ribosomal RNA
Rfam family: Bacterial small subunit ribosomal RNA
Source: RNAcentral